This 2772-nucleotide ribosomal RNA is filed under the name Escherichia coli. RNAcentral describes it as "partial 23S ribosomal RNA". It matches the Rfam family "Bacterial large subunit ribosomal RNA". Lineage: Bacteria; Pseudomonadati; Pseudomonadota; Gammaproteobacteria; Enterobacterales; Enterobacteriaceae. The record is from RNAcentral.
GUUAAGCGACUAAGCGUACACGGUGGAUGCCCUGGCAGUCAGAGGCGAUGAAGGACGUGCUAAUCUGCGAUAAGCGUCGGUAAGGUGAUAUGAACCGUUAUAACCGGCGAUUUCCGAAUGGGGAAACCCAGUGUGUUUCGACACACUAUCAUUAACUGAAUCCAUAGGUUAAUGAGGCGAACCGGGGGAACUGAAACAUCUAAGUACCCCGAGGAAAAGAAAUCAACCGAGAUUCCCCCAGUAGCGGCGAGCGAACGGGGAGCAGCCCAGAGCCUGAAUCAGUGUGUGUGUUAGUGGAAGCGUCUGGAAAGGCGCGCGAUACAGGGUGACAGCCCCGUACACAAAAAUGCACAUGCUGUGAGCUCGAUGAGUAGGGCGGGACACGUGGUAUCCUGUCUGAAUAUGGGGGGACCAUCCUCCAAGGCUAAAUACUCCUGACUGACCGAUAGUGAACCAGUACCGUGAGGGAAAGGCGAAAAGAACCCCGGCGAGGGGAGUGAAAAAGAACCUGAAACCGUGUACGUACAAGCAGUGGGAGCACGCUUAGGCGUGUGACUGCGUACCUUUUGUAUAAUGGGUCAGCGACUUAUAUUCUGUAGCAAGGUUAACCGAAUAGGGGAGCCGAAGGGAAACCGAGUCUUAACUGGGCGUUAAGUUGCAGGGUAUAGACCCGAAACCCGGUGAUCUAGCCAUGGGCAGGUUGAAGGUUGGGUAACACUAACUGGAGGACCGAACCGACUAAUGUUGAAAAAUUAGCGGAUGACUUGUGGCUGGGGGUGAAAGGCCAAUCAAACCGGGAGAUAGCUGGUUCUCCCCGAAAGCUAUUUAGGUAGCGCCUCGUGAAUUCAUCUCCGGGGGUAGAGCACUGUUUCGGCAAGGGGGUCAUCCCGACUUACCAACCCGAUGCAAACUGCGAAUACCGGAGAAUGUUAUCACGGGAGACACACGGCGGGUGCUAACGUCCGUCGUGAAGAGGGAAACAACCCAGACCGCCAGCUAAGGUCCCAAAGUCAUGGUUAAGUGGGAAACGAUGUGGGAAGGCCCAGACAGCCAGGAUGUUGGCUUAGAAGCAGCCAUCAUUUAAAGAAAGCGUAAUAGCUCACUGGUCGAGUCGGCCUGCGCGGAAGAUGUAACGGGGCUAAACCAUGCACCGAAGCUGCGGCAGCGACACUAUGUGUUGUUGGGUAGGGGAGCGUUCUGUAAGCCUGUGAAGGUGUACUGUGAGGUAUGCUGGAGGUAUCAGAAGUGCGAAUGCUGACAUAAGUAACGAUAAAGCGGGUGAAAAGCCCGCUCGCCGGAAGACCAAGGGUUCCUGUCCAACGUUAAUCGGGGCAGGGUGAGUCGACCCCUAAGGCGAGGCCGAAAGGCGUAGUCGAUGGGAAACAGGUUAAUAUUCCUGUACUUGGUGUUACUGCGAAGGGGGGACGGAGAAGGCUAUGUUGGCCGGGCGACGGUUGUCCCGGUUUAAGCGUGUAGGCUGGUUUUCCAGGCAAAUCCGGAAAAUCAAGGCUGAGGCGUGAUGACGAGGCACUACGGUGCUGAAGCAACAAAUGCCCUGCUUCCAGGAAAAGCCUCUAAGCAUCAGGUAACAUCAAAUCGUACCCCAAACCGACACAGGUGGUCAGGUAGAGAAUACCAAGGCGCUUGAGAGAACUCGGGUGAAGGAACUAGGCAAAAUGGUGCCGUAACUUCGGGAGAAGGCACGCUGAUAUGUAGGUGAAGUCCCUCGCGGAUGGAGCUGAAAUCAGUCGAAGAUACCAGCUGGCUGCAACUGUUUAUUAAAAACACAGCACUGUGCAAACACGAAAGUGGACGUAUACGGUGUGACGCCUGCCCGGUGCCGGAAGGUUAAUUGAUGGGGUUAGCCGCAAGGCGAAGCUCUUGAUCGAAGCCCCGGUAAACGGCGGCCGUAACUAUAACGGUCCUAAGGUAGCGAAAUUCCUUGUCGGGUAAGUUCCGACCUGCACGAAUGGCGUAAUGAUGGCCAGGCUGUCUCCACCCGAGACUCAGUGAAAUUGAACUCGCUGUGAAGAUGCAGUGUACCCGCGGCAAGACGGAAAGACCCCGUGAACCUUUACUAUAGCUUGACACUGAACAUUGAGCCUUGAUGUGUAGGAUAGGUGGGAGGCUUUGAAGUGUGGACGCCAGUCUGCAUGGAGCCGACCUUGAAAUACCACCCUUUAAUGUUUGAUGUUCUAACGUGGACCCGUGAUCCGGGUUGCGGACAGUGUCUGGUGGGUAGUUUGACUGGGGCGGUCUCCUCCUAAAGAGUAACGGAGGAGCACGAAGGUUGGCUAAUCCUGGUCGGACAUCAGGAGGUUAGUGCAAUGGCAUAAGCCAGCUUGACUGCGAGCGUGACGGCGCGAGCAGGUGCGAAAGCAGGUCAUAGUGAUCCGGUGGUUCUGAAUGGAAGGGCCAUCGCUCAACGGAUAAAAGGUACUCCGGGGAUAACAGGCUGAUACCGCCCAAGAGUUCAUAUCGACGGCGGUGUUUGGCACCUCGAUGUCGGCUCAUCACAUCCUGGGGCUGAAGUAGGUCCCAAGGGUAUGGCUGUUCGCCAUUUAAAGUGGUACGCGAGCUGGGUUUAGAACGUCGUGAGACAGUUCGGUCCCUAUCUGCCGUGGGCGCUGGAGAACUGAGGGGGGCUGCUCCUAGUACGAGAGGACCGGAGUGGACGCAUCACUGGUGUUCGGGUUGUCAUGCCAAUGGCACUGCCCGGUAGCUAAAUGCGGAAGAGAUAAGUGCUGAAAGCAUCUAAGCACGAAACUUGCC